GUGCCCGUGACCGAACGGCGAGGUAGCGGCCUGCAAAGCCGCCGAUGCGGGUUCGACUCCCGCCGGGCACUCCA
This 74-nucleotide transfer RNA is filed under the name Mycobacterium koreense. RNAcentral's name for it is "Mycolicibacillus koreensis tRNA-Cys". It matches the Rfam family "tRNA". Rfam says of the family: Transfer RNA (tRNA) molecules are approximately 80 nucleotides in length. Their secondary structure includes four short double-helical elements and three loops (D, anti-codon, and T loops). Lineage: Bacteria; Bacillati; Actinomycetota; Actinomycetes; Mycobacteriales; Mycobacteriaceae. The record is from RNAcentral.